AGUGACAGCGUACCUUUUGUAUAAUGGGUCAGCGACUUAAUCUAGCAAGCAAGCUUAAACCGUUAGGUGUAGGCGUAGCGAAAGCGAGUCUUAAUAGGGCGACUAAGUUUGUUGGAUUAGACCCGAAACCGAGUGAUCUAGGUAUGAGCAGGUUGAAGGUGCAGUAACAUGCACUGGAGGACCGAACCCACGCCUGUUGAAAAAGGCGGGGAUGACUUGUGCCUAGGGGUGAAAGGCCAAUCAAACUCGGAAAUAGCUGGUUCUCCGCGAAAUCUAUUUAGGUAGAGC
This 288-nucleotide ribosomal RNA is filed under the name Conticribra weissflogii. Its description in RNAcentral is "partial Bacterial large subunit ribosomal RNA". It matches the Rfam family "Bacterial large subunit ribosomal RNA", at positions 592 to 880 of the family's 2925-position model. The record is from RNAcentral. Lineage: Eukaryota; Bacillariophyta; Thalassiosirophyceae; Thalassiosirales; Thalassiosiraceae.